CGGACGGGUGAGUAACGCGUGAGAAUCUACCUUCAGGUCGGGGACAACCACUGGAAACGGUGGCUAAUACCGGAUGUGCCGAGAGGUGAAAGGCUUGCUGCCUGAAGAAGAGCUUGCGUCUGAUUAGCUAGUUGGUGGUGUAAGAGACUACCAAGGCGACGAUCAGUAGCUGGUCUGAGAGGAUGAUCAGCCACACUGGGACUGAGACACGGCCCAGACUCCUACGGGAGGCAGCAGUGGGGAAUUUUCCGCAAUGGGCGAAAGCCUGACGGAGCAAUACCGCGUGAGGGAGGAAGGCUCUUGGGUUGUAAACCUCUUUUCUCAGGGAAGAACAGAAUGACGGUACCUGAGGAAUAAGCAUCGGCUAACUCCGUGCCAGCAGCCGCGGUAAUACGGAGGAUGCAAGCGUUAUCCGGAAUGAUUGGGCGUAAAGGGUCCGCAGGUGGCAUUGAAAGUCUGCUGUUAAAGAGUCUAGCUCAACUAGAUAAGAGCAGUGGAAACUACAAAGCUAGAGUGUGGUCGGGGCAGAGGGAAUUCCUGGUGUAGCGGUGAAAUGCGUAGAUAUCAGGAAGAACACCAGUGGCGAAGGCGCUCUGCUAGGCCGAGACUGACACUGAGGGACGAAAGCUAGGGGAGCGAAUGGGAUUAGAUACCCCAGUAGUC
RNAcentral lists this ribosomal RNA (663 nucleotides) under uncultured cyanobacterium. RNAcentral describes it as "bacterial SSU rRNA". It matches the Rfam family "Bacterial small subunit ribosomal RNA", at positions 99 to 795 of the family's 1533-position model. Lineage: Bacteria; Bacillati; Cyanobacteriota. The record is from RNAcentral.